This 490-nucleotide ribosomal RNA is filed under the name uncultured bacterium. RNAcentral's name for it is "partial 16S ribosomal RNA". It matches the Rfam family "Bacterial small subunit ribosomal RNA", at positions 30 to 507 of the family's 1533-position model. The record is from RNAcentral.
AUUGAACGCUGGCGGCAUGCUUUACACAUGCAAGUCGGACGGCAGCACAGAGAAGCUUGCUUCUUGGGUGGCGAGUGGCGAACGGGUGAGUAAUAUAUCGGAACGUACCGAGUAAUGGGGGAUAACUAAUCGAAAGAUUAGCUAAUACCGCAUAUUCUCUGAGGAGGAAAGCAGGGGACCUUCGGGCCUUGCGUUAUUCGAGCGGCCGAUAUCUGAUUAGCUAGUUGGUGGGGUAAAGGCCUACCAAGGCGACGAUCAGUAGCGGGUCUGAGAGGAUGAUCCGCCACAAUGGGACUGAGACACGGCCCAGACUCCUACGGGAGGCAGCAGUGGGGAAUUUUGGACAAUGGGAGCAAGCCUGAUCCAGCCAUGCCGCGUGUCUGAAGAAGGCCUUCGGGUUGUAAAGGACUUUUGUCAGGGAAGAAAAGGCUGUUGCUAAUAUCAAUAGCUGAUGACGGUACCUGAAGAAUAAGCACCGGCUAACUACGUG